This is a long non-coding RNA of Malaclemys terrapin pileata, 574 nucleotides long. RefSeq lists it as uncharacterized. NCBI's taxonomy places the organism in Eukaryota, Metazoa, Chordata, Testudines, Emydidae. The record is from RefSeq and is a predicted model, not a curated record. The transcript has 4 exons.
UGUGGGAGCAGAAUGGGGUACAGGCUAAUUGGGAGAGAGGAUGCUCUGGGGGCUGAAAGGGAAACACAAAAUGGGGCAGGCACUGAAGUGGAUGGUAGUAGGCUGGGGAAUAGAGACAGAACCCGCGUUUGUUCUAGGACACAGGUUCAUGCCCCUAUUCUUGUGAAGAGAACCGCAAGCUGUUUAAUGAUGAUAAGUGAGGUUGGAAACUCAGAGGUCGUCAUCACAUGGAAUUCCCCUGAAACCCCAUCCUCAAAUGGGGACACAAGAGCCCACUCUUUGGAUCCCAGGAAUCCCCCCUUCCUGCUUCUCUGGACCCUUCUCUCUCUAGGCAGGCUGCCUUCACCUGUGCAAAUCUCUCUUCAAAGCAUUCCCAACUCAUGCUGGCUUUGGAGAGAAAAGGACUGGAACUGAGACCCACCCCCAACUGAUAAUGUAACAUGGACCUCCGGACCAUUUUGCAGAUUUCUUUAGAUUCUGCAGUCUCACAGGCUGUAACACCUCCAGAGAAGUACCACUGCUGGGGAAGCUCAUAUAUGCUGGUUCAAACUGGAUUCUCCAGAGACCAACGGAC